This 201-nucleotide ribosomal RNA is filed under the name uncultured bacterium. RNAcentral's name for it is "partial 16S ribosomal RNA". It matches the Rfam family "Bacterial small subunit ribosomal RNA", at positions 1300 to 1500 of the family's 1533-position model. The record is from RNAcentral.
GUAGUCUGCAACUCGACUACAUGAAGCUGGAAUCGCUAGUAAUCGCGAAUCAGAAUGUCGCGGUGAAUACGUUCCCGGGUCUUGUACACACCGCCCGUCACACCAUGGGAGUCAGCAACGCCCGAAGCCGGUGACCCAACCGAAAGGAGGGAGCCGUCGAAGGUGGGGCCGAUAACUGGGGUGAAGUCGUAACAAGGUACC